CCUACGGAGGCAGCAGUGAGGAAUAUUGGUCAAUGGCCGAGAGGCUGAACCAGCCAAGUCGCGUGAGGGAUGACGGCCCUACGGGUUGUAAACCUCUUUUGUCGGGGAGCAAAGAGAGUCACGUGUGGCUCAUUGAGAGUACCCGAAGAAAAAGCAUCGGCUAACUCCGUGCCAGCAGCCGCGGUAAUACGGGGGAUGCGAGCGUUAUCCGGAUUUAUGGGGUUUAAAGGGUGCGCAGGCGGGGGGGCAAGUCAGUGGUCAAAUUGCGGGGCUCAACCCCGUACUGCCGUUGAAACUGCAUCCCUUGAGUGCGCGAGAAGUAUGCGGAAUGCGUGGUGUAGCGGUGAAAUGCAUAGAUAUCACGCAGAACUCCGAUUGCGAAGGCAGCAUACCGGCGCGCAACUGACGCUCAUGCACGAAAGCGUGGGUAUCGAACAGGAUUAGAUACCCCUGUAGUC
RNAcentral lists this ribosomal RNA (458 nucleotides) under uncultured bacterium. RNAcentral's name for it is "partial 16S ribosomal RNA". It matches the Rfam family "Bacterial small subunit ribosomal RNA", at positions 338 to 795 of the family's 1533-position model. The record is from RNAcentral.